AUGAUAGGUUUUGAAAAAGAUUUUUCAUGUCAUUCCCAUUUAGGUUCGAUUCGGAUCCCUCUGUUGUUUCCCUUUCCUCCCGAACCUUUUCCUCGAAAUGAUAAAGAAUCUGGUACACUCGAAUUGUAUUAUUUAAGUGCUUAUUGCUUGCCAAAAAUCCUACUUCUACAAUUGGUAGGUCACCGGGUUAUUCAAAUAAGUCGUGUUUUCUGUGCUUUUCCCAUGUUACAACUUCCGUACCAAUUCGAUCGAUCCGGAAUGGAUCGGUUAAACAUUCUAUUAGGGAGCCCGGUCUUGACUCUUCUGUGUGGUAUUCAUUCUCGUUCGGCUCUUGGAAUCACAUCCAGCAGUGGUUGGAACAGCUCGCAAAAUCCAACCACUUCACCUACUUUAUUGCCCCCAACCGUUUCCCGUACCUCUAUAGAAACAGAAGGGUUUCAUGUUCUUUCAUCGAUUGGGUAUUCCUCUCCUUUUGUAUCUCUUUAUCCAAUUUCGGUCUCGAUUAGUUCACAAGAUUGA
Molecule: ribosomal RNA, 519 nt
Filed under: Triticum aestivum (bread wheat)
Lineage: Eukaryota; Viridiplantae; Streptophyta; Magnoliopsida; Poales; Poaceae
Description: partial small subunit ribosomal RNA
Source: RNAcentral